This is a long non-coding RNA of Pseudopipra pipra, 408 nucleotides long. RefSeq lists it as uncharacterized. Lineage: Eukaryota; Metazoa; Chordata; Aves; Passeriformes; Pipridae. The record is from RefSeq and is a predicted model, not a curated record. The transcript is spliced from 2 exons.
CGGUGACGGUGGCAGAACUGUGCCAGCUCUUGCCAUUCACGGGAAUGCUGAAGCGCCCGGUCUUCUUUUCAAGAUAGAAUUGUAGAAAAACACCUGUGUUUAAGAACGUGGCACCCUAGGCCUGGACCAGGAGAUAUCACUCAGACACAGCAACCUUCAAGCCCAGAACUUUGGAGGAACUCCAAGGACUAUACCUGCUGUGAAGAAGAUGAAGAUGAGCAAGAAGGGGUCCCAAAUGCCCCCAGACCUAAUUCCCAAAGGGGUGUGUCAGGGGGCAGAACUGGACAAAACUGAGGGGUGGAUAGACCUGGGACCUUAUUAUAAAAUCAUGGAACCGCUGUCUGGGUGCACACACAAGUCUGUAUUCCCCUAAUUAAAGGACCUGCUCUUUUCAUCUUAUGCACUAAA